UUAAUUAGCAUACCUAUCGAUGUUUAUCUAUAGAUCUCAAAAUGCUCCACAGUGGUGAGUAAGCAUCUGUAGAUGGGGGAAACUGAGGCACAGAAGUAAGGUGAGUUGCUAAAGUUUUCAUACUGAGCAUCAAGAGCCAGAACAGAAUCCAGGUAUCUUGAUACCUAGCCAGGAGCUCCAUCCACUGGACUAUACUGUCACUAUGAGGAAAUAUGUAUAUUUCAGUCAGUGAGCUUCGGAUACUCAAAGAUCGCAGGAUUUUGUCAUAGGUGCACUGAGAGAGAGAAACGCCCAAGGACAAAGUCUCUGCAAUUUAGCAUAUGCUUACAGCCAGCUGAAAAACUAUGACAUGGCAGAGUAUUACUAUCAAGAGGCAAUUAAUGCAUUUGUGGAUGUGGGUGAUUUAUAUGGCCAGCAACAAGUCUGUGAAGGAUUGGGUGCUACUAGUUUCUGCCUAGAUGACUCAGAUCAGGCCAUCUCUUAUUAUAAACAAGCUCUGACUCUGUUUGGAAAGUCAAAGGAAACAUCUGAUCUCUCCAGAGAAAGGGUUUUAGGGAAACUGAGGGUGCUGUUAAGUAUCAAACCAGUCAUCAGUGUCCUGUUUCAUGCAGAGAUAGCUUUUCAAACACAACAGCAGCUCAAUCUUCUCCCAAAGUUGCCAGAUAUGACCAUGGUUCUUUGGCAUCUGAACAAGAAACAUAUCUAUAUGAUGACCCACAGAACGAGUAUUCUGGUAACGAAAAGAAACAGAGAGAUGGAUGUACUGAAAGGAGUGUCACUUCCAGAACAGAUUCAAUGUCAUCUCACCUUAUUCCACAGUAACAAAGGUGCUGGCAGGUACUGUAGAUAUAGUUUUAAAAUGUUCCAUUUAUUUUAUAUUUAGGGUACAAACCCUCGGCUUUCUGAUGCCUCAAGUCUGAGCCUCUGAUAGGUCAGUUUUACAGAGUAGGACACAGUUUGAAAUAUCCAGACCUUGUAUUCAUGCAAUUUUCCUUUGUAGAAAAACUGACCCUGGAGGAGAGAGGGAAAAAGAACAGGAGGAUGACUCCAUUUCUGGGCACAUGAAUGUAGAAUCACAGAUGUGGGCCAGAGUCUUCAUUUCCUUACGUGUAUGUGCAUCUGGAGGAACACCACUGAAGUCAGUGGAGAUACACCAUUGUGAGAGCAGGAGAUGUAAGAGCAGACUCUGGCAACAUGGAGGCAGCACAUGCCAUUACACAUACACAGACUUUUUUUAAAUCCUGUGGUAGAACAAAGGUUGUAAUAACCAAGAAAUGAUAAAACAUUAUGAAUCUAAGACAACACUGAACAUUAGAUUAAAAUAUAGGUAGGAUUCAAUGUUUAUCUUUAGGAACAUUAUAUUAGAUUGGUUUAAUAUCAAAGACAUUUACCCUGAAAUCAUUGAGGACAAUAGGGUUUUGCUAUUGACUUUGAUGGCAGCCCAAUUAGGCCCAAGCAAAGUGCAUUUAAA
RNAcentral lists this long non-coding RNA (1471 nucleotides) under Gopherus agassizii (Agassiz's desert tortoise). RNAcentral's name for it is "lncRNA (ENSGAGG00000012203.1)". Lineage: Eukaryota; Metazoa; Chordata; Testudines; Testudinidae. The record is from RNAcentral.